RNAcentral lists this transfer RNA (74 nucleotides) under Bacteroidales bacterium. Its description in RNAcentral is "tRNA-Pro". It matches the Rfam family "tRNA". Rfam says of the family: Transfer RNA (tRNA) molecules are approximately 80 nucleotides in length. Lineage: Bacteria; Pseudomonadati; Bacteroidota; Bacteroidia; Bacteroidales. The record is from RNAcentral.
CGGGAUGUGGCGCAGUUGGCUAGCGCACUACGUUAGGGACGUAGGGGUCGGGUGUUCGAGUCACCUCAUCCCGA